Molecule: ribosomal RNA, 539 nt
Filed under: Escherichia coli
Lineage: Bacteria; Pseudomonadati; Pseudomonadota; Gammaproteobacteria; Enterobacterales; Enterobacteriaceae
Description: partial 23S ribosomal RNA
Rfam family: Bacterial large subunit ribosomal RNA
Source: RNAcentral
CGAAUGCUGACAUAAGUAACGAUAAAGCGGGUGAAAAGCCCGCUCGCCGGAAGACCAAGGGUUCCUGUCCAACGUUAAUCGGGGCAGGGUGAGUCGACCCCUAAGGCGAGGCCGAAAGGCGUAGUCGAUGGGAAACAGGUUAAUAUUCCUGUACUUGGUGUUACUGCGAAGGGGGGACGGAGAAGGCUAUGUUGGCCGGGCGACGGUUGUCCCGGUUUAAGCGUGUAGGCUGGUUUUCCAGGCAAAUCCGGAAAAUCAAGGCUGAGGCGUGAUGACGAGGCACUACGGUGCUGAAGCAACAAAUGCCCUGCUUCCAGGAAAAGCCUCUAAGCAUCAGGUAACAUCAAAUCGUACCCCAAACCGACACAGGUGGUCAGGUAGAGAAUACCAAGGCGCUUGAGAGAACUCGGGUGAAGGAACUAGGCAAAAUGGUGCCGUAACUUCGGGAGAAGGCACGCUGAUAUGUAGGUGAAGUCCCUCGCGGAUGGAGCUGAAAUCAGUCGAAGAUACCAGCUGGCUGCAACUGUUUAUUAAAAACA